CGGUUUAUAGCUUAAUUUGGUGGAGCGUGGCCUUGAUAAGGCUAAGGUUAUUGGUUCAAUUCCAAUUUUACCGA
RNAcentral lists this transfer RNA (74 nucleotides) under Callyspongia plicifera (azure vase sponge). Its description in RNAcentral is "tRNA-Ile". It matches the Rfam family "tRNA". Rfam says of the family: Transfer RNA (tRNA) molecules are approximately 80 nucleotides in length. Their secondary structure includes four short double-helical elements and three loops (D, anti-codon, and T loops). The record is from RNAcentral. Lineage: Eukaryota; Metazoa; Porifera; Demospongiae; Haplosclerida; Callyspongiidae.